Molecule: long non-coding RNA, 3103 nt
Organism: Hypanus sabinus (Atlantic stingray)
Lineage: Eukaryota; Metazoa; Chordata; Chondrichthyes; Myliobatiformes; Dasyatidae
Exons: 3
Source: RefSeq, a predicted model, not a curated record
AAUGGUGGUGUGAGGGAAUGGUGUGGUGAGGUGAGAAUGGAAUACAGAUGGAAGUGGAACGCAUGGGGGAUCGACAGAGAGACCCCAAGUGGGACCGGGCAGGAGACACCUCCCUCAUCACAUAUCCCAGAGAUGGGAAAUCUGUUGCACACACAAAGGCACAAACGCAGAGUAGGGGAGGACAGCACCUGGGAACAAUGAAACCUGGGGGAGGGGCAACAUCUUCAUCGAGAGGAAGUGGUUGAGGCAGGUACAUCAACAACAUGUAAAAGACGGACAGGUACACGGAUAGGAAAGGUUUAGAGGGAUACGGAGAGGUACACGGAUAGGAAAGGUUUAGAGGGAUACGGACAGGUACACGGAUAGGAAAUGUUUAGAGGGAUACGGACAGGUACACGGAUAGGAAAGGUUUAGAGGGAUACGGACAGGUACACGGAUAGGAAAGGUUUAGAGGGAUACGGACAGGUACACGGAUAGGAACGGUUUAGAGGGAUAUGGACAGGUACACGGAUAGGAAAUGUUUAGAGGGAUAUGGACAGGUACAUGGAGAGGAACGGUUUAGAGGGAUAUGGACAGGUACACGGAUAGGAAAUGUUUAGAGGGAUACGGACAGGUACACGGAUAGGAAAGGUUUAGAGGGAAACGGACAGGUACACGGAUAGGAAAGGUUUAGAGGGAAACGGACAGGUACACGGAUAGGAAAGGUGUAGAGGGAUACGGACAGGUACACGGAUAGGAAAUGUUUAGAGGGAUACGGACAGGUACACGCAUAGGAAAGGUUUAGAGGGAAACGGACAGGUACACGGAUAGGAAAGGUUUAGAGGGAAACGGACAGGUACACGGAUAGGAAAGGUGUAGAGGGAUACGGACAGGUACACGGAUAGGAAAUGUUUAGAGGGAUACGGAGAGGCACAUAGAUAGGAAAGGUUUAGAGAGAUACGGACAGGUACACGGAUAGGAAAGGUUUAGAGGGAAACGGACAGGUACACGGAUAGGAAAGGUUUAGAGGGAAACGGACAGGUACACGGAUAGGAAAGGUGUAGAGGGAUACGGACAGGUACACGGAUAGGAAAUGUUUAGAGGGAUACGGACAGGUACACGCAUAGGAAAGGUUUAGAGGGAAACGGACAGGUACACGGAUAGGAAAGGUUUAGAGGGAAACGGACAGGUACACGGAUAGGAAAGGUGUAGAGGGAUACGGACAGGUACACGGAUAGGAAAUGUUUAGAGGGAUACGGAGAGGCACAUAGAUAGGAAAGGUUUAGAGAGAUACGGACAGGUACACGGAUAGGAAAGGUUUAGAGGGAAACGGACAGGUACACGGAUAGGAAAGGUUUAGAGGGAAACGGACAGGUACACGGAUAGGAAAGGUGUAGAGGGAUACGGACAGGUACACGGAUAGGAAAUGUUUAGAGGGAUACGGAGAGGCACAUAGAUAGGAAAGGUUUAGAGAGAUACGGACAGGUACACGGAUAGGAAAGGUAUAGAGGGAUACGGACAGGUACACGGAUAGGAAAUGUUCAGAGGGAUAUGGACAGUUACACGGAUAGGAAAGGUUUAGAGGGAUACGGACAGGUACACGGAUAGGAAAUGUUUAGAGGGAUAUGGACAGGUACAUGGAUAGGAAAUGUUUAGAGGGAUAUGGACAGGUACAUGAAUAGGAAAUGUUUAGAGGGAUACGGACAGGUACAUGGAUAGGAAAGGUUUAGAGGGAUAUGGACAGGUACACGGAUAGGAAAGUUUCAGAGGGAUAUGGACAGGUACAUGGAUAGGAAAGGUUUAGAGGGAUGCGGACAGGUACACGGAUAGGAAAUGUUUAGAGGGAUAUGGACAGGUACAUGGAUAGGAAAGGUUUAGAGGGAUAUGGACAGGUACACGGAUAGGAAAUGUUUAGAGGGAUAUGGACAGGUACACAGAUAGGAAAGUUUCAGAGGGAUACGGACAGGUAAACGGAUAGGAAAGGUUUAGAGGGAUACGGACAGGGACACAGAUAGGAAAAGUUUAGAGGGAUACGGACAGGUACACGGAUAGGAAAGGUUUAGAGGGAUACGGACAGGCACACGGAUAGGAAAGGUUUAGAGGGAUUCGGACAGGUACAUAGAUAGGAAAGGUUUAGAGGGAUACGGACAGGUACACGGAUAGGAAUGGUUUAGAGGGAUAUGGACAGGUACACGGAUAGGAAAUGUUUAGAGGGAUAUGGACAGGUACACGAAUAGGAACGGUUUAGAGGGAUAUGGACAGGUACACGGAUAGGAAAGGUUCAGAGGGAUACGAACAGGUACAUGGAUAGGAAAGGUUUAGAGGGAUACAGACAGGUACAUGGAUAGGAAAGGAUUAGAGGGAUAUGGACAGGUACAUGGAUAGGAAAGGUUUAGAGGGAUACGGACAGGUACACGGAUAUGAAAUGUUUAGAGGGAUAUGGACAGGUACAUGGAUAGGAAAGGUUUAGAGGGAUACGGACAGGUACAUGGAUAGGAAAGGUUUAGAGGGAUACGGACAGGUACACGGAUAGGAAAUGUUUAGAGGGAUAUGGACAGGUACAUGGAUAGGAAAGGAUUAGAGGGAUACGGACAGGUAGACGGAUAGGAAAUGUUUAGAGGGAUAUGAACAGGUACAUGGAUAGGAAAGGUUUAGAGGGAUACGGACAGGUACAUGGAUAGGAAAGGUUUAGAGGGAUACAGACAGGUACAUGGAUAGGAAAGGAUUAGAGGGAUAUGGACAGGUACAUGGAUAGGAAAGGUUUAGAGGGAUACGGACAGGUACACGGAUAUGAAAUGUUUAGAGGGAUACGGAGAGGUACACGGAUAGGAAAGGUUUAGAGGGAUACGGACAGGUACACGGAUAGGAAAUGUUUAGAGGGAUACGGACAGGUACACGGAUAGGAAAGGUUUAGAGGGAUACGGACAGGUACACGGAUAGGAAAGGUUUAGAGGGAUACGGACAGGUACACGGAUAGGAAAGGUUCAGAGGGAUAUGAACAGGUACAUGGAUAGGAAAGGUUUAGAGGGAUACGGACAGGUACAUGGAUAGGAAAGGUUUAGAGGGAUACAGACAGGUACAUGGAUAGGAAAGGAUUAGAGGGAUAUGGACAGGCACAUGGAUA